CAGGCUUAACACAUGCAAGUCGAGGGGCAGCAUGGUCUUAGCUUGCUAAGGCCGAUGGCGACCGGCGCACGGGUGAGUAACACGUAUCCAACCUGCCGUCUACUCUUGGACAGCCUUCUGAAAGGAAGAUUAAUACAAGAUGGCAUCAUGAGUCCGCAUGUUCACAUGAUUAAAGGUAUUCCGGUAGACGAUGGGGAUGCGUUCCAUUAGAUAGUAGGCGGGGUAACGGCCCACCUAGUCUUCGAUGGAUAGGGGUUCUGAGAGGAAGGUCCCCCGCAUUGGAACUGAGACACGGUCCAAACUCCUACGGGAGGCAGCAGUGAGGAAUAUUGGUCAAUGGGCGAGAGCCUGAACCAGCCAAGUAGCGUGAAGGAUGACUGCCCUAUGGGUUGUAAACUUCUUUUAUAAAGGAAUAAAGUCGGGUAUGGAUACCCGUUUGCAUGUACUUUAUGAAUAAGGAUCGGCUAACUCCGUGCCAGCAGCCGCGGUAAUACGGAGGAUCCGAGCGUUAUCCGGAUUUAUUGGGUUUAAAGGGAGCGUAGAUGGAUGUUUAAGUCAGUUGUGAAAGUUUGCGGCUCAACCGUAAAAUUGCAGUUGAUACUGGAUAUCUUGAGUGCAGUUGAGGCAGGCGGAAUUCGUGGUGUAGCGGUGAAAUGCUUAGAUAUCACGAAGAACUCCGAUUGCGAAGGCAGCCUGCUAAGCUGCAACUGACAUUGAGGCUCGAAAGUGUGGGUAUCAAACAGGAUUAGAUACCCUGGUAGUCCACACGGUAAACGAUGAAUACUCGCUGUUUGCGAUAUACUGCAAGCGGCCAAGCGAAAGCGUUAAGUAUUCCACCUGGGGAGUACGCCGGCAACGGUGAAACUCAAAGGAAUUGACGGGGGCCCGCACAAGCGGAGGAACAUGUGGUUUAAUUCGAUGAUACGCGAGGAACCUUACCCGGGCUUAAAUUGCAGAUGAAUUACGGUGAAAGCCGUAAGCCGCAAGGCAUCUGUGAAGGUGCUGCAUGGUUGUCGUCAGCUCGUGCCGUGAGGUGUCGGCUUAAGUGCCAUAACGAGCGCAACCCUUGUUGUCAGUUACUAACAGGUUCCGCUGAGGACUCUGACAAGACUGCCAUCGUAAGAUGUGAGGAAGGUGGGGAUGACGUCAAAUCAGCACGGCCCUUACGUCCGGGGCUACACACGUGUUACAAUGGGGGGUACAGAGGGCCGCUACCACGCGAGUGGAUGCCAAUCCCCAAAACCUCUCUCAGUUCGGACUGGAGUCUGCAACCCGACUCCACGAAGCUGGAUUCGCUAGUAAUCGCGCAUCAGCCACGGCGCGGUGAAUACGUUCCCGGGCCUUGUACACACCGCCCGUCAAGCCAUGGGAGCCGGGGGUACCUGAAGUGCGUAACCGCGAGGAGCGCCCUAGGGUAAAACUGGUGACUGGGGC
Molecule: ribosomal RNA, 1434 nt
Filed under: uncultured organism
Description: 16S ribosomal RNA
Rfam family: Bacterial small subunit ribosomal RNA
Source: RNAcentral